AAGGAUUCAUGACUCAAUCAACAAGUGAAAAGAUUAGAUUACAUUAAUUAACUGCCAAGGUGCUUACUUGUUAUAAGGAAAGCUCUGCCAAGUGCCAACUGCCAACUGCCAUAUAUAUUUCGGCUCCUCGGUUGAUGCUAAAGAGUAAAGGUUAGCAUUUGGUGGCUAGAUAUUUAUCAGAGGGGGUCACAGAUUUUAUGUACAAGGUGAUCAGUAACAUAUUGGCUUAUUGUAUUCUGAUACAUACUUGUGGGAUUCAACUGGAGAUUGCAGACGUAUGCUGUACAAACAAUAUUUAUUUUACAACGUACGUCGACCAGGAAUAAACUAAUAUAUUUAGUGGAGAAUAAAGGAUUCAUGACUCAAUCAACAAGUGAAAAGAUUAGAUUAUAUUACAUUAAUUAACUGCCAAGGUGCUUACUUGUUAUAAGGAAAGCUCUGCCAAGUGCCAACUGCCAACUGCCAUAUAUAUUUUGGCUCCUCGGUUGAUGCUAAAGAGUAAAGGUUAGCAUUUGGUGGCUAGAUAUUUAUCAGAGGGGGUCACAGAUUUUAUGUACAAGGUGAUCAGUAACAUAUUGGCUUAU
Lycium ferocissimum is the source of this 584-nucleotide long non-coding RNA. RefSeq lists it as uncharacterized. The transcript is spliced from 2 exons. The record is from RefSeq and is a predicted model, not a curated record. Lineage: Eukaryota; Viridiplantae; Streptophyta; Magnoliopsida; Solanales; Solanaceae.